UACAGAGGUCCCGAGCGUUGUUCGGAUUCAUUGGGCGUAAAGGGUGCGUAGGCGGCGGGGCAAGUCUGAUGUGAAAUCCCGGGGCUCAACCCCGGAACUGCAUUGGAUACUGCCGUGCUUGAGUACUGGAGAGGAGACUGGAAUUUACGGUGUAGCAGUGAAAUGCGUAGAGAUCGUAAGGAAGGCCAGUGGCGAAGGCGAGUCUCUGGACAGUAACUGACGCUGAGGCACGAAGGCCAGGGGAGCAAACGGG
This 253-nucleotide ribosomal RNA is filed under the name uncultured bacterium. RNAcentral describes it as "partial 16S ribosomal RNA". It matches the Rfam family "Bacterial small subunit ribosomal RNA", at positions 524 to 776 of the family's 1533-position model. The record is from RNAcentral.